UUGUCAUCAUAACGCAGGUUUUUGCAAAACAAUUUGUGUUCAUUUAUUUCAUGGGACAAUCCUUUGCUAUGGUUUCUUUACUUAUUGGAAUCUGGGUGCAACUUUCCAUUAGGAAGAUAAAUAACAGAUCUACUGGGAUUUUAUUCUAAUAAAAGUACGAAAUAACUAAACAUGGCUUCGUUAAUAUUGCUGCAUAAUGUGUCAGGUGCUGUUCCAAUGAUUUAAGAGAUGAAAAGUGAUACGCGAUGCUGUGAAGUACUCAAAUGUAACUAUGUUGUUGUGUUGUUGUAACGGCAGAAUUCUGCCGAGUUCACAGUCCUUGGCCGGAUAAAAAUCCGGGUCCGUUCCGGUUUUCGUAGACCCGACUGUCGUGGGAACGGUCAAGGUAUGUCAAAUGUAACUAUCAACUUAGUUGGUAUUGAAUUUGAGGCCAAAUUUUAAAUUCAAUGACGUGCUCGUGGAAGGUGCACGUCGCAUUGCUAGAAUCGCAAAGAAGCUGGUGUACAACAUUUGAUUAUUUGUCUGCCUUAAAAGCUAGUCCCAAACCAAUGAGCUUUGUGCUUGAGGGUUUGGAAGAGCAAUUACUACGGUGAAUGUGCUGUUCGGAUGUUGCACAAGCUAUUGUCAAUUGCGCUAACAUCCCGAUCAAGCUGUUGGACCAAAACGUUACCAGUUGAGCGAAUUAAUUGAUGUCAUUUGGGUGUACAAUUGUGAAGUAUGGUCGAUUAUGAACGAUGUGGAAAUUGAUAAUUAAACUUUAAAAAACAAAAAAAAAAUGUAAUUUGGUUAAUAAUGAACCGCUAUUAAAAAUUAAGGAAUUUGAGUUGUAUAUUGAGUGAAUAUAUUUCAUUUUUUUUUUCAAAUAUGCCAGUAUUGCUAUUGAGCGUGACAAAAUAGAAUUGCGUAAGUGAAUUUAAACUACUUUUUACUACUAUAGAGAUAUUGCAAAAUCAAAAAAUAAUUCCUUUAAGAAUCCUUUUUAUUUAAAAACUUAGCUUAGAAUUAAAAAAUAAUAUGGAAAAUCUGUUAGGAUGGUCAAACACUCCAUUUGGGAACGUGUAGGAUUCCUGAUCGUCGGCGUAUAGCUAAAUUCUGACACAUAAAAAGUGUAUGUAGUUUGUGAUUACAAAAAUGUAUACUUAAAAUAUAAGAAACAUGGUUAUUAUAA
Long non-coding RNA from Bactrocera latifrons, 1168 nucleotides. RefSeq lists it as uncharacterized. The transcript has 3 exons. The record is from RefSeq and is a predicted model, not a curated record. NCBI's taxonomy places the organism in Eukaryota, Metazoa, Arthropoda, Insecta, Diptera, Tephritidae.